GUCCACGCGGUAAACGAUGUCAACUAGCCGUUGGAAGGGUAAUCCUUUAGUGGCGCAGCUAACGCACUAAGUUGACCGCCUGGGGAGUACGGUCGCAAGAUUAAACUCAAAUGAAUUGACGGGGCCCGCACAAGCGGUGGAGCAUGUGGUUUAAUUCGACGCAACGCGAAGAACCUUACCUACUCUUGACAUCCAGAGAACUUGGCAGAGAUGCCUUGGUGCCUUCGGGAGCUCUGAGACAGGUGCUGCAUGGCUGUCGU
RNAcentral lists this ribosomal RNA (260 nucleotides) under uncultured bacterium. RNAcentral describes it as "partial 16S ribosomal RNA". It matches the Rfam family "Bacterial small subunit ribosomal RNA", at positions 793 to 1055 of the family's 1533-position model. The record is from RNAcentral.